CAAGGCGACGAUCCGUAGUUGGUCUGAGAGGACGACCACCCACACUGGAAGUGAGACACGGUCCAGACUCCUACGGGAGGCAGCAGUGGGGAAUAUUGGACAAUGGGGGAAACCCUGAUCCAGCGACGCCGCGUGUGUGAAGAAGGCCUGCGGGUUGUAAAGCACUUUUAGUGGGGAUGAAAUGCACAGGGCUAAUACCUCUGUGUUUUGACCUAACCCACAGAAAAAGCACCGGCUAACUCUGUGCCAGCAGCCGCGGUAAUACAGAGGGUGCAAGCGUUAAUCGGAAUUACUGGGCGUAAAGCGUACGUAGGCGGUUUCGUAAGUCGGGUGUGAAAGCCCCGGGCUCAACCUGGGAAUUGCAUUCGAGACUGCGAAGCUAGGGCGCGGAAGAGGGAAGUGGAAUUUCCGGUGUAGCGGUGAAAUGCGUAGAUAUCGGAAGGAACAUCAGUGGCGAAAGCGACUUCCUGGUCCAGCGCCGACGCUCAGGUACGAAAGCGUGGGGAGCAAACAGGAUUAGAUACCCUGGUAGUCCACGCCAUAAACGAUGAGAACUAGACGUUGAGAGGGUAAGCCUCCCAGUGUCGCAGCUAACGCGAUAAGUCUCCGC
RNAcentral lists this ribosomal RNA (610 nucleotides) under uncultured Gammaproteobacteria bacterium. RNAcentral's name for it is "bacterial SSU rRNA". It matches the Rfam family "Bacterial small subunit ribosomal RNA", at positions 269 to 872 of the family's 1533-position model. Lineage: Bacteria; Pseudomonadati; Pseudomonadota; Gammaproteobacteria. The record is from RNAcentral.